Molecule: transfer RNA, 77 nt
Filed under: Deltaproteobacteria bacterium
Lineage: Bacteria; Pseudomonadati; Myxococcota; Myxococcia
Description: tRNA-Arg
Rfam family: tRNA
About the family: Transfer RNA (tRNA) molecules are approximately 80 nucleotides in length. Their secondary structure includes four short double-helical elements and three loops (D, anti-codon, and T loops). Further hydrogen bonds mediate the characteristic L-shaped molecular structure. tRNAs have two regions of fundamental functional importance: the anti-codon, which is responsible for specific mRNA codon recognition, and the 3' end, to which the tRNAs corresponding amino acid is attached (by aminoacyl-tRNA synthetases). tRNAs cope with the degeneracy of the genetic code in two manners: having more than one tRNA (with a specific anti-codon) for a particular amino acid; and 'wobble' base-pairing, i.e. permitting non-standard base-pairing at the 3rd anti-codon position.
Source: RNAcentral
GGCCCCUUAGCUCAACUGGAUAGAGCACCGGAUUUCUAAUCCGGCGGUUAGACGUUCGAGCCGUCUAGGGGUCGCCA